CCAGCACAUGCGCUGUAGAUGCUUCAGAAGCCAACGAGAUCUUGUGGUGAUGCCGAAGCUUGGAUGACAUGGCCUUGGCUCAUCUGGUGGAUAUCUUCAUCAGUAAGGACUCCUGGAUGAUUGUGUUUCUGAUGCCCAACAAGAAACAGAGGCAACCGAGGGGGCCGCUAUAGGACUGAUUACCUGGAUUAAUUGCAGAACAGUGAAUAGGAUGUGGGGGUCCCUGGUGGGCCCCUGAUGGGGCCCUGGUGGAAGCCCUGGGAUGCUGUGUCAUGGACCAAGUGGAUAUAUCUUCAGCAACAGGGAGGUGAAGGGUACACUGAGGGUGACCAUCAGAGGACAAGGCCCACAACACAACCAAAGUGACCACAUCCACCCUCUAG
Molecule: long non-coding RNA, 383 nt
Filed under: Homarus americanus (American lobster)
Lineage: Eukaryota; Metazoa; Arthropoda; Malacostraca; Decapoda; Nephropidae
Description: uncharacterized LOC121875721, transcript variant X2
Source: RNAcentral